UACGUAGGGGGCGAGCGUUAUCCGGAAUUACUGGGCGUAAAGCGCACGCAGGCGGCUCGCCAAGUUUGGAGUGACAGUUGUCGGCUCAACCGACAAAGGACUUCAAAAACUGGUGAACUUGAGUAUGAGAGAGGAACAUGGAACUCCAGGUGUAGUAGUGAAAUGCGUAGAUAUCUGGAAGAACACCAAUGGCGAAGGCAAUGUUCUGGCUCGUUUCUGACGCUCAGGUGCGAAAGCCAGGGGAGCGAACGGG
Molecule: ribosomal RNA, 253 nt
Filed under: uncultured bacterium
Lineage: Bacteria
Description: partial 16S ribosomal RNA
Rfam family: Bacterial small subunit ribosomal RNA
Source: RNAcentral